CCCAACUAUCCCUAUUAAUCAUUACGUCGAUCCUAGAAACCAACAAAAUAAAAUCAAACGUCCUAUUUCGUUAUUCCAUGCUAAUAAUGUAUUCAAGCGUGAGCCUGCUUUAAACACUCUAAUUUUUUCAAAGUAACAGUCCUGAUUCCCUAAAAUACCAAAUUAAUGGCAUUAUAGUUCGUCAGAAAAGAGAAACCGAUUAUACCAGUACGUACAAAAGCACGACCAGUAAACUGGUCUCGAAAUUCAACUACGAGCUUUUUAACUGCAACAACUUUAAUAUACGCUAUUGGAGCUGGAAUUAUCGUGGCUGCUGGCACCAGACUUGCCCUCCAA
RNAcentral lists this unclassified non-coding RNA (336 nucleotides) under uncultured Glomeraceae. RNAcentral describes it as "sequence contains 18S rRNA gene". Lineage: Eukaryota; Fungi; Glomeromycota; Glomeromycetes; Glomerales; Glomeraceae. The record is from RNAcentral.